RNAcentral lists this ribosomal RNA (253 nucleotides) under uncultured bacterium. RNAcentral describes it as "partial 16S ribosomal RNA". It matches the Rfam family "Bacterial small subunit ribosomal RNA", at positions 524 to 776 of the family's 1533-position model. The record is from RNAcentral.
UACAGAGGUCUCAAGCGUUGUUCGGAUUCAUUGGGCGUAAAGGGUGCGCAGGCGGAUUUGUAAGUCAGAGGUGAAAUCUCACGGCUUAACCGUGAAACUGCCUUUGAUACUGCAGAUCUUGAGUUUGGGAGAGGUUGAUGGAAUUCCAGGUGUAGCGGUGAAAUGCGUAGAUAUCUGGAAGAACACCAGUGGCGAAGGCGGUCAACUGGCCCAUAACUGACGCUCAGGCACGAAAGCGUGGGGAGCAAACAGG